AGUGAACGCUGGCGGUAGGCCUAACACAUGCAAGUCGAACGGCAGCACAGUAAGAGCUUGCUCUUACGGGUGGCGAGUGGCGGACGGGUGAGGAAUACAUCGGAAUCUACUUUUUCGUGGGGGAUAACGUAGGGAAACUGACGCUAAUACCGCAUACGUCCUACGGGUGAAAGCAGGGGAUCAUCGGACCUUGCGCGAUUGAAUGAGACGAUUUCGGAUUGGGUAGUUGGCGGGGUAAAGGCCCAUCAAGGCGACGAUCCGUAGCUUGUCUGAGAUGAUGAUCAGGCAUAAUGGAACUUAAACACGGUCCAGACUCCUACGGGAGGCAGGAGUGAGGAAUUUUUGACAAUGGGCGGAAGCCUGAACCAACCAUAGCGCGUUGGUGAAGAAGGCCUUCUGGUUCUAAAGCCCUUUUGUUGGGAAAGAAAAGCAGCAGGAUGUUACCCCGCUGUUCUGGCGGUAACCAAAGCAUAAGCACCGGCUAACUUCGUG
This 492-nucleotide ribosomal RNA is filed under the name uncultured bacterium. Its description in RNAcentral is "partial 16S ribosomal RNA". It matches the Rfam family "Bacterial small subunit ribosomal RNA", at positions 29 to 507 of the family's 1533-position model. The record is from RNAcentral.